This is a long non-coding RNA of Hemiscyllium ocellatum (epaulette shark), 672 nucleotides long. RefSeq lists it as uncharacterized. The record is from RefSeq and is a predicted model, not a curated record. The transcript is spliced from 3 exons. NCBI's taxonomy places the organism in Eukaryota, Metazoa, Chordata, Chondrichthyes, Orectolobiformes, Hemiscylliidae.
UAUCAUGCGGCGCUCCGCCAGGGGAGUGGACGACGGAAGGAAGUAGAUACCACGCAGACCGGGAAUUGUAGUCCGAUAAAAGCCCACCCUUUUGACUGUUUCUCAGGACAUUAACAACCAGCCUCAAGUAGCGAUGUCCGGUUUCCUGCUUUAUCUACACCGAUGAACACUCUCUGAUAAUUUGGUUUACAUUCUGGGACCGAGGAUUGAAGCCAAGUGGACUACAAAUCCCAGCGUGCUUGUACACGGAGCCCAGAACCGGAGUUGCAGCUCGCCUCCAGCACUGAUUGGCUCUUGUGCAGGCGGUUAAUUGUCAAUCAUCUGUGCAGCGCUCACCCCACGGCUGCCCGCGCCCUAACGGAAAGCGCGGUUUUCAAAUUUUGGCGCGCCUCGACAAACCGCAACGGAUUGAAGGAAUUGUCUCGGGAUUAAUGUGCAGUUUGAGAGGGAGCUCCAGCAUGAUAACAGAAUCUUUCCGUCUGUAACCUACCGUGUACCGUUGAUGUUCAAACAUUGCACACGCCCUGAAACCGCAAGCGUCAACACCUUCAGAUUAGGAAGACUGGAAAAAUUGAGGAGCAAUUUUUUAAAAAGGUGAAGGAUUUCCAAGAGGUGAUACCUGGCUCUAAGCUGAAGAGCUUCAGUCUCUAAUUGGAUUCUACAUGCAGCAGU